RNAcentral lists this transfer RNA (77 nucleotides) under Caldivirga sp. JCHS_4. RNAcentral's name for it is "tRNA-Val". It matches the Rfam family "tRNA". From Rfam's summary of the family: Transfer RNA (tRNA) molecules are approximately 80 nucleotides in length. Their secondary structure includes four short double-helical elements and three loops (D, anti-codon, and T loops). RNAcentral also lists the same sequence under 2 other names. Lineage: Archaea; Thermoproteati; Thermoproteota; Thermoprotei; Thermoproteales; Thermoproteaceae. The record is from RNAcentral.
GGGCCCGUAGUCUAGCUUGGUAGGAUGCCCGCCUCACGCGCGGGAGAUCCCGGGUUCAAGUCCCGGCGGGCCCACCA